AUGAAACCAAACAAGAGGCUCAAAACUAUAUUCUAUUUGUUACAACAUUUUAUAAUGUCUAAUAUAUUCGUCAACUUAUGCAACUUUAGUUUUAUGUUUCAAAAUAUUGCAGAAACUCCAGAUGAUUAUGAGCACGCACGCACACUUUGCCGCUGGUUGGUGUGGAUUUGUGAUGCAGGAGCCUCGUCUUCACAGAGGCAGCAGGUGGGAGAAAGAUUGAUAAAGUGGUGGUGUCCGGUGGCUGGGAGGAUCACACGGAAAGGACGUUAUUUUCUGUACUGUUUACUCAUACAGAAGGGACUUUGCUGA
Molecule: ribosomal RNA, 309 nt
Filed under: Triticum aestivum (bread wheat)
Lineage: Eukaryota; Viridiplantae; Streptophyta; Magnoliopsida; Poales; Poaceae
Description: partial small subunit ribosomal RNA
Source: RNAcentral